AUCUGCCCACUGAUUUAAUAUUAAAGGGCUGCAGUAUAUUGACUGUACAAAGGUAGCAUAAUCAUUAGUCAUUUAAUUGAUGACUUGUAUGAAAGAUUGGAUGAAAUAUAAACUGUCUCUUAAUUAUAUUUAGAAUUUAAUUUUUUAAUUAAAAAGUUAAAAUGCAUUAAAAAGACGAGAAGACCCUAUAGAGUUUUAUAAUUAAAUUAAUUGAGAUUAUUUAUAAGGUUAAAAUUAAAAUUAAUUUAUUUAUUUUGUUGGGGUGACAGAAAAAUAUAAAAAACUUUUUAUAUAAUAAGACAUUAAUAAGUGGUUAAAUGAUCCAAUAUUAUUGAUUAUAAGAAAAAAUUACCUUAGGGAUAACAGCGUUAUUUUUUUUUUUAGUUCGUAUAAAAAAAAAAGUUUGCGACCUCGAUGUUGGAUUAAGAUAAAAUUUAAAUGUAGAAG
This 447-nucleotide ribosomal RNA is filed under the name Sesamia sp. SEZAG6462. Its description in RNAcentral is "partial 16S large subunit ribosomal RNA". Lineage: Eukaryota; Metazoa; Arthropoda; Insecta; Lepidoptera; Noctuidae. The record is from RNAcentral.